GCGGGUGUAGCUCAAUGGUAGAGCACUAGCCUUCCAAGCUAGACGUUGAGGGUUCGAGUCCCUUCGCCCGCU
This 72-nucleotide transfer RNA is filed under the name Phycisphaerae bacterium. RNAcentral's name for it is "tRNA-Gly". It matches the Rfam family "tRNA". From Rfam's summary of the family: Transfer RNA (tRNA) molecules are approximately 80 nucleotides in length. The record is from RNAcentral. Lineage: Bacteria; Pseudomonadati; Planctomycetota; Phycisphaerae.